GAGGGUAUAGCUCAGUGGUAGAGCACAUGCUCGGUGUACAGGAGGUCCUGGGUUCAAUCCCCAGGGCCUCG
This 71-nucleotide transfer RNA is filed under the name Camelus bactrianus (Bactrian camel). It matches the Rfam family "tRNA". From Rfam's summary of the family: Transfer RNA (tRNA) molecules are approximately 80 nucleotides in length. Their secondary structure includes four short double-helical elements and three loops (D, anti-codon, and T loops). The record is from Rfam by way of RNAcentral. RNAcentral also lists the same sequence under 2 other names. Lineage: Eukaryota; Metazoa; Chordata; Mammalia; Artiodactyla; Camelidae.